RNAcentral lists this ribosomal RNA (253 nucleotides) under uncultured bacterium. RNAcentral's name for it is "partial 16S ribosomal RNA". It matches the Rfam family "Bacterial small subunit ribosomal RNA", at positions 524 to 776 of the family's 1533-position model. The record is from RNAcentral.
UACGGGGGGGGCAAGCGUUGUUCGGAAUUACUGGGCGUAAAGGGCUCGUAGGCGGCCAACUAAGUCAGACGUGAAAUCCCUCGGCUUAACCGGGGAACUGCGUCUGAUACUGGUUGGCUUGAGUGUGGGAGAGGGAUGCGGAAUUCCAGGUGUAGCGGUGAAAUGCGUAGAUAUCUGGAGGAACACCGGUGGCGAAGGCGGCAUCCUGGACCAUUACUGACGCUCAGGCGCGACAGCGUGGGGAUCAAACAGG